This 252-nucleotide ribosomal RNA is filed under the name uncultured bacterium. Its description in RNAcentral is "partial 16S ribosomal RNA". It matches the Rfam family "Bacterial small subunit ribosomal RNA", at positions 524 to 776 of the family's 1533-position model. The record is from RNAcentral.
UACGGAGGAUGCGAGCGUUAUCCGGAUUUAUUGGGUUUAAAGGGUGCGUAGGCGGAUCGUUAAGUCAGUGGUCAAAUUGAGGGGCUCAACCCCUUCCCGCCAUUGAACCUGGCGAUCUUGAGUGGAAGAGAAGUAUGCGGAAUGCGUGGUGUAGCGGUGAAAUGCAUAGAUAUCACGCAGAACCCCGAUUGCGAAGGCAGCAUGCCGGCUUCCUACUGACGCUGAAGCACGAAAGCGUGGGGAUCGAACAGG